AUGAGGAUUGCAAGGUGCACCAGAGAGGAGCCAUGGGGGAAACAGCGCUACACAUAGCAGCCCUCUAUGACAACCUGGAGGCCGCCAUGGUGCUGAUGGAGGCUGCCCCGGAGCUGGUCUUUGAGCCCAUGACAUCUGAGCUCUAUGAGGGUGAGGGCCCACGGGUCUGGGGUGAAGAGCAGGAGUGACUGGUUGGGUAUUUCAAGUCAGUCUCUGUGAUGGAUAAUUUGGGAAAGACACAGGGGAUCUGAGCCUCCUACUCUUUUUUUCUGUUCUCUGUCUCCCUUCCGUGUCAGUCCUGACUGCCCAUCACUCGAAUGCCUGCCCCCUGAAAUGCCAGGGGCCUAGAGAAGAGGAAGAGAUGGGCAGCAGCUGGAUCCCCUGGGAAUCCUGAACACCCGAGGGCUCCCUGUUCUCCAUUCCAGGCUACCCCUGAGGGAAAGAGACUGGGGUGCAUAUGGGAGGGACCCCCUGCAGGAUCCUGGGGACAGACCCAUGACUGACAGCUAUCUCUGGGCCAGGUCAGACUGCACUGCACAUCGCUGUUGUGAACCAGAACGUGAACCUGGUGCGAGCCCUGCUUGCCCGCAGGGCCAGUGUGUCUGCCAGAGCCACAGGCACUGCCUUCCGCCGUAGUCCCCACAACCUCAUCUACUUUGGGGAGCACCCUUUG
RNAcentral lists this small RNA (673 nucleotides) under Pan troglodytes (chimpanzee). RNAcentral's name for it is "retained intron". The record is from RNAcentral. Lineage: Eukaryota; Metazoa; Chordata; Mammalia; Primates; Hominidae.